AGCAGCCGCGGGAAUACGGAGGGGGCUAGCGUUGUUCGGAAUUACUGGGCGUAAAGCGCACGUAGGCGGCUUGGUAAGUUAGAGGUGAAAGCCUGGAGCUCGACUCCAGAAUUGCCUUUAAGACUGCCGAGCUAGCAGGUGAGAGAGGUAAGUGGAAUUCCGAGUGUAGAGGUGAAAUUCGUAGAUAUUCGGAAGAACACCAGUGGCGAAGGCGGCUUACUGGCUCAUACUGGACGCUGAGGUGCGAAAGCGUGGGGAGCAAACAGGAUUAGAUACCCCCGUAGUCCCUGUCUCUUAUACA
This 301-nucleotide ribosomal RNA is filed under the name uncultured bacterium. RNAcentral's name for it is "partial 16S ribosomal RNA". It matches the Rfam family "Bacterial small subunit ribosomal RNA", at positions 510 to 808 of the family's 1533-position model. The record is from RNAcentral.